GUUUAAUGAGCGGGGCUUGAUCGGCUUGGAAAUGGAUUGGCCACUUCGGCUCUGCAGGCUGCAAGACACCCGUCAGAGUGAAUGAGUGACUCCAUAAACCCGGCCUCUGUGGCUAAACAGCUGGGGCAAAGCAUUCUGAAACUCCUCAGAGCCCCGCAGGCUUCCCCUAAAAUAUUUACGGGAAGCAGCAACGUGGCAAGCCCAGGCUUGGAAAUUUUGGAUGAAGGCUAAGAAAGAAGCUACAAAGGGGCCAGCUGGAUCACGUCUAGUAAAUCUCCCAGAAUUUCCUUUCUUUAUCUGCAACGAGCAACAAGGGGUAGACAGUGAGGAUGUGAGACACCUGGCCACUGGCAGAGUGGAAAACAGCUGGGAUUGUGUUCCAAAUGCUGCUCCAGCCUACAGCCCUUCCCUGGGGCAGAAGCUGGCUUUCAGAAAGCUCUCCAGGAAAACUUGCCCUAGCAUCUCACGUGUCUAGAAGUGUCUCUAAAUCAAAGGCAUACAAUGAGACUCUCGGCUGAAGGAACUGAUGCUGAUCCCUGGGGAGAGACCACUUUCAGGCCCGCAGAGGGAAGCAGGGGAGCUGAGAGGAGCUUUGGGGCUGUUUGCGCCCUCCUCCGGACAUCAAUGGCAUAGUGAUGGUUUGAAGUUCCCCAGCUGCCCUUUCACAGACAGGGUCUAUGACUUGACUGUGGCGCUGAUUUCCAUAUCCCAGGGAUCUUCCUGCCUCCACUUCCCCAGUGCUGGGAUUGCAGACAUGUGACAUUAUGAUUGGCCUUUAUAUGGAUGCUGAGGAUCCAUACUCAAGCCAUGGUACACUUCACGGCGCACAUUACCAACUGUGUCAUCUCUUCAGCCCAAUGAACAACGUCUUUCAGAACCAUCAGUAUCGAACUCCUUUGGAAAC
Molecule: long non-coding RNA, 904 nt
Organism: Mus caroli (Ryukyu mouse)
Lineage: Eukaryota; Metazoa; Chordata; Mammalia; Rodentia; Muridae
Source: RefSeq, a predicted model, not a curated record